This 449-nucleotide unclassified non-coding RNA is filed under the name Hevea brasiliensis (rubber tree). The record is from RNAcentral. Lineage: Eukaryota; Viridiplantae; Streptophyta; Magnoliopsida; Malpighiales; Euphorbiaceae.
GGAACAGUUCAGUGAUGGAGUUGGCUACAGUUGGAUUGAUGGCUUGAAGGAUCACGCGAACAGUCAAGUUUCUGAUUCUAUGUUAGCGAAUGCAAGUUUUGUUUACCCUCAUAACACACCCACAACCAAGGAAGGGUACUACUAUAGAACUAUUUUCGAGCGAUAUUUCCCCAAGGCUGCUGCAAGAGAAACUGUUCCUGGUGGUCCAAGUGUGGCCUGCAGCACUGCAAAAGCAGUAGAAUGGGAUGCCGCUUGGUCCAAGAAUCUAGAUCCAUCCGGUCGAGCUGCUCUCGGUGUUCAUGAAGCUGCUUAUGAGGUUAAAGAACUAUGAAGUUGAUAAAGCUGUAGUAGCUGUUUGAUUGUAUAUCUUCAUUCAAAAACCUGACUUGUUCCACAUUUGACUUCUUUUACGAGUUUGAAUUCUUUGCUUCUGGUUUUACAAUUACCAA